UUACUGGAAAAUUCUUAUGUAAGUGUUAACAGGUCAGGUGAAAUCCUACAUACUGUACACUUCUGCUUAGCACCAUUCUAACAGGAAUAAGGCAACAUCAGUGGACCACAAUGGGAUUUUCUUCAAUGUGAAGCACUUUUGUUUGGUCAGUGUAAAUGGUUCCUACCAGACAAAUGCCACAGGCACAGAAGAGAUGUGCAACUGAGCCUGCUGUACCAUAUUUCCAUUACCAGCUCCUGAUGGAGAGGCCUGGGUCUAUCUGGUUGUGGAUUUUAAGUGAUGGUUCAACAUUGCAGCAGUGCAGAAAACUAAGAUUUAAGAUUUUUGAAUUAAGAAGAUGAUUUGGACUCCUCAGAAAGUUUAACCCCAAGAGAAUUUGUUAUCUGAGCUGGAAAAAAAGUGCACAGGAACCCACUGCUCUUCUGAACCCACCAACCACCUCCUUACUGCUGAUUUUGCAAGGAUUAACAUGUACUUGCUGCACAUCCACGUGGAAGCAGAAUUUGAACUCCUCUGGGUUUUUGGUGGUCUCUGAAGAAAUGCUUCGUAUUUGUGAAAGUGGGACACCAAAGGAACAAGAAGCAGCAGAAAAUACAGCAAAAAGACUUCAACUAUUUAAUGACAGCUUCAAGACCUGAGCGAGGUUUAAAGGAGCCAGAUGAAUUAGAAGACUGUAAAAGUAUCUCCUCUUUCUCAGAAGCAGGUGAUGGUGUGAAGGAGGUUAUCUGGUGCUGUCAUUAUUGAGAGGGGCAAUAUCUCACUGCAAAAGAGGUGCUGAAGGUAGUGUUUGUCCCUGGGGUAGAAGCAAAGGGAAGGCGUUGGUGUUUGCAGCCUGGUGCUAAGGCACACACACCGCUGACAGGUGCGGUGUGAACGCGACACAUACUUGGAAACAAAAGUGAGACAUUGGUGGAAAGUGAAAAUGGAAAACUUUCCAGAUGCCAGGUGGAAAAUGAUAUUAAAGCUGUCAAAAUAAGUCACAACAAAGACUGGGUUUUCUCUUAGACUAACAGGAGUCAUGUUCUGGAGAAGAAUGGAGGUUUCAGCUACAAGGCAGAGUGUCAUAAAUGAAACAAUUAUGAGCAUUGGAGGUUAAGUUUGAACCUAUUUGUUUGGGGGUUUUAUGUUUUGGUCUCUUUAUUUUUUCUUUUUCUCUUUCAAGUGCACUGCAGAGUUCCUGAUUUACUCUACAGUUGGUGGACAGGUCAAAAAUGUGUAAAUAAAUCCCACUGUCAUUGCUUCACAUAGUUAUCUAUUCUGGGCCUAAUUCCAAGCCCUGUUAAAUUGAUGGCAAUCCUUCCACUGGCAUGGGAGGACUGCAGUUUAGAACCUGUGAUGGUGGUGCAAAGUAACACCAGAGAGGAUGGAUAAACAGCCUCUGCAGUCAUCCAAAGUGAGUCUCUGAAACACAGAAAGGGAAGUAAACCUUGAACUACAUUCAAGGUCAAAUAUGCUUUAUAUAUAUGGUAAUGGAGCUUUUAAAAACGUCAGCUCCACCUAAAUGCAUUAAACAUCUUAAAUAUUAUAAAGGACAUUAUUCAGAUUUAAAUCUGACAAUCUGAACAGAUAACCCAGUAUUUUACUUCUUGAAAAAUAUUAGCUGCACUGUUUAUACUUGGGUGGAAAACCACAAAUCAGAACAAAGUUUGCUGUGUUUCCUUACUGUAGCCAAGGAAAUUUACUCUGCUGAUUAAGGAUUUUACUUGUCCAUGUAUUCACUUUAAUGCAGUGGUAGAUUCUUAUCAACAAUUUAUCUG
Long non-coding RNA from Parus major (Great Tit), 1757 nucleotides. RefSeq lists it as uncharacterized. The transcript has 4 exons. Lineage: Eukaryota; Metazoa; Chordata; Aves; Passeriformes; Paridae. The record is from RefSeq and is a predicted model, not a curated record.